RNAcentral lists this unclassified non-coding RNA (18 nucleotides) under Chlamydomonas reinhardtii. RNAcentral describes it as "small RNA Cre_3422". The record is from RNAcentral. Lineage: Eukaryota; Viridiplantae; Chlorophyta; Chlorophyceae; Chlamydomonadales; Chlamydomonadaceae.
UGGGUUCAUUUCCCGCAA